RNAcentral lists this long non-coding RNA (1357 nucleotides) under Salmo salar (Atlantic salmon). RNAcentral's name for it is "lncRNA (ENSSSAG00000107803.1)". Lineage: Eukaryota; Metazoa; Chordata; Actinopteri; Salmoniformes; Salmonidae. The record is from RNAcentral.
GUUGGGUGACAGGCAGCUGUGGAGACAGGGUUGUUAGUUUAUGUAGGCUGCGGGCUGAGUCGACUGGAAAAUUUUGAUCACUUUAAUUUACUAUAUCCAGCGCAGCCACUCUCCCUGUCCAGUGCUUUUAUCAAGCCCGUUUCAGAUGAUGUCCAGUACAGCACGGCUGCUCCAGCCAAUAAACAAGGUGACUAACAAUGGAAGUGGGCCAGGAAUGAAGAGAGGGAGACAGGGUAUAACCUCACAACACUCAGCAGGGAGAAAAGAGUGGGGGGUGGGGUGCAACGUGUAUGAAAUACAAAUGGUUUUAUGCAUCUAUAGUCUAUUUUUGAAUAAUUAAGAUGUUGUGUAGGUCUGUGUACGUCAUUUUGAUCUGACCAUAAGAUGGUAUUAGAUUGCUUUAAACAAAUAUUUAGGGGUCUUAAAAAAUUAAAUGUUUUCUUUAGAUUCUUAGGAAUAUCAAAGUGACAUUUAACAGAUAUAACAAAUGAGUUGAUUUUUAUAUACAAAAUGGGAGAGGCAAGAUAAUGGAAAUUAUUUAUUUUCCAGAAGGAAGUUUCACAAGGUACUAUAAUGGAGUUUCCAUGUUAGAAUUAAAUGAUUUUAGGACUGAAGACAAAAAGACUAUUGAACUUUUAUGUGUGUAUGUAUAUUGGUGUACGUCUUUGUGUGUCUGUGUGUCUCCUUGAGCAAAAUUCAUUAUCACCUUUGCCCCACAGAAAAUGCAAUUAAUAGUGGAAAUAAUGAUUUUCUCCAAACUGAAAUUAGACUUUUAUUUCUUUCCCCAAUUCACGGCUUAUUGAGAACCUUCAUAUUAAAAUUGUUGUACAUUUCUAUCGAAUGCAAAUUCUUGAGUGUUUGUGUGCACAUUAGAGAAAGGAAGAGCAAGAGAGAGAGUGAGAGAGAGAGAGAGAGAGAGAGAGAGAGAGAGAGAGAGAGACAGCGAUAGGGUGAGAGAAGCACAAGGAUAGGGAGAGAGCGAAAGCAAGAGAUGGAGGGAGAGAGAGACAGAGAGAGAGACAGAGGAAGAGAGUGAAAGAAAGAGCGAGAGCUAGCGAGGGGGAGAGAGUGAGAGCAAAUCUCAGCUGAAAGAGAGGAGGUUAGUGACAGUCUGAUAAAAGAUGUCUCCAAAAUACUAAUUAAAAUUGAAUACCCCUGCAAAUGCAACGCAACAUGCAAUCUCCAGGUAAUUCAUUUAGAGCAACUAUCUCAGUGUGAAGCUUUUUUUUUUAUCACUGGUUCUUUAUUGCAAAAAAAUGCCUAUCCCUUUUUAUUUUAUUUUUCACACUUUAUCAUCUGCCGCUGUCUCUCUCAAUCCUCUUAGGAGCUCUCUUUUCUUCGCUGCCCUUGAUGUCAC